RNAcentral lists this ribosomal RNA (610 nucleotides) under Russula aeruginea. RNAcentral's name for it is "eukaryotic LSU rRNA". The stretch from base 188 to 341 matches the Rfam family "5.8S ribosomal RNA". Lineage: Eukaryota; Fungi; Basidiomycota; Agaricomycetes; Russulales; Russulaceae. The record is from RNAcentral.
UUGCUGACCUCAAGGUCGUGCACGCCCGGAGUGCUCUCUCACAUCCAUCUCACCCCUUUGUGCAUCAUCGCGUGGGGCCCUCUCCUUUGGCUUGUUCCGGAAGGGGGGGGGUUCACGUUUUUACACGAACAACCCAUUAAUGCAUGUGUAAAAUGUCUUACUUUUUGCGGUCACACGCAAUCAAUACAACUUUCAACAACGGAUCUCUUGGCUCUCGCAUCGAUGAAGAACGCAGCGAAAUGCGAUACGUAAUGUGAAUUGCAGAAUUCAGUGAAUCAUCGAAUCUUUGAACGCACCUUGCGCCCCUUGGUAUUCCGAGGGGUGCACCCGUUUGAGUGUCGUGAACACCCUCAACCUUCUUGGUUUAUCGACCGGGAAGGCUUGGACUUUGGAGGUUUUUGUUGCUGGCCUCGUUUGAAGCCAGCUCCUCCUAAACGAAUUAUUGGGGUCCGCCGUGCCGACCCUCGACGUGAUAAGUACGCUUCUACGUCUUGGGGUUUCGCACUGUCGCCUGCUUCCAACCGUCUUCGAAUGAAGACAAUCUUAUAGACCUUGACCUCAAAUCGGGUGAGACUACCCGCUGAACUUAAGCAUAUCAAUAAGCGGAGGA